RNAcentral lists this long non-coding RNA (619 nucleotides) under Apteryx owenii (little spotted kiwi). Its description in RNAcentral is "lncRNA (ENSAOWG00000013323.1)". The record is from RNAcentral. Lineage: Eukaryota; Metazoa; Chordata; Aves; Apterygiformes; Apterygidae.
AUACACUGCAGUUGGAAAAAAUCCCACAAGCAUAGAGAAGUCUAACUUUACAAAAGAAUUAAUUUAGUAAUUAAGUUUAUAAUAGCUCUAGUUACCCCUGAAACUCACAGUCUUUAAUGAAUUUCUCUUUAGAGCAUUCCUGUGAAGCAAGGCAGUGCUUUGGGGAUGAUGUGCUGAGGAGAACUAAGACCUAGAAGGAUUAAGGUCACAUGAAUGUGAGACAUCAGGGUAUCAACUCCAGCAUGAAUCUGGGCUGUAGCACCAGGAAAAGGAGUCUAGGAGGCAGCCAAUGCUACUCUGACUCCWGGUCAUAGAGGAAGUGAUCUAUGAGAAGGGCAGUAGUCUGGAUCACGGGAGGCGCAGGUGCAAGUCUCUGCUGCAGCAUGUGCACUGGCGUGCGGUGAGCAGUGUCUAUCCCAGCAGCCACGUGACUGAAAGUCUGAACACAGCGCAGCUCCUGAUAGACAGGGAAUGCCCUUGUGAAACUCCCAGGCCUCUGCGUCCCGCACAGAAGCGGCUUGCAUCAGACUUUUAGACAUUAUUGAACAGAGAYGUUUGUGUUUAUCUAUCCACCUGGUGAGGGAAAGGUAAGCAAUUUUUAUGCUUUAAAUGCUUCUCA